UUAUCUUCAGCCUCUUCCUUCACUUCACUCUCCCAACAUCUCUCCCAACUUAAUCCCUCUCUGUAUUUCCGUCGAUUUUUUCUCAAUCAUUAGAACAAUAAGUCUUUUGAAUCAGAACUCUAUUAUUAGGUUGUGCUUCCUCUUCUUCCUCCACGAGAUCCAUCAACAACAUCAGUUAUCGAAGGUUUGUUUUGAUCUGAAUCGACACCUAAGAAUGAAGAUUUUUUAUUGUUAAAAAACGAAUCGAAGGAUAAGUAUAAUAUAUCCUUAUCGUCUAUUUCAAUCGAUUAAGUUAUCCAUAUUGAAUUGAAAUUUAAGAAAAAGAUUUUUUUUUUAUGUUGGUUACCUGAUAACUUCGAUUUCAUCCCAUAUCUCUUUUCUGAUUCAUGAUCAGAGUUUAGAUCUACAUGAAUCUCAUUUUAAUCUUGCUUUUGAGAUAAAAAAUUUACCAAACUUUUUCUAGGGUUCUUGGGUAAAAUUCGAGUUAAAUCUCAAUCUAUAGCUCCGAUCGAAAAUAUAAAAGCAGAUUAGAACUCAACAUACCUUAAUCCCUAUUACCCGUUGAAACGAUUUGAAGUUUGUCAACUUUUAAUUUUCGAUUCUCUACUCACUCUUAUACCUGUUCAAUGAAACUUGUUUUAGUUGUUUAAAAUAAAACAGAUGAAAUAUGAGUGAUCACAAGAUAUGAACAAAUGCAAUUCUUGAACUAUUGCUCCACAAGCUUCACAAGAGGAAAGAUAAAUUAUGAUUGCACCACCUGAUGCCUUAGCUGAUAGCUCCAUGAGCCGAGAAUGGUCUGAAGGGAAAAUUGCCAACAAAAUUAAUGCAGAACCACAACAAUGCAGUUGCUUUUAUAAAUAUAUAAGCUUUUGUUCUAUUUAUAUUCUAGUCAUGAUCUUGUAUCUCUUAUUAGAAACACAUAAGAUAGCAUAACCGUUUCUUUUCCUAGAAAUGCAUAAGUAUUCACUGUCUUCUUUAACAUUUUUUGAUUGUUGUACAAAUCUUUAAAGCAUAAGCGUAAUACUAUCUUAUUGCUUUCUUUAUUGACUGCAUUUCAGUGUUAAGCAUGCUUGAGCAUGCCUGAAAUUAUAUCUUAUUGCUUUCUUUAUUGACUGAAUAGUUAAUUUUACUCACGGCACUUGAAGCUCAAUGAUGUUUUGUUGUUGGUAGUCUCCAAAUUGUUCUAGCAGACUUUUUACAGCUAAUUAAUUAAUGCAUUAUGUUGUGAGUACUGACCUACCCCUGCAAUACAAGAAAUUCUGAAUAGCUUUCUAUUAACCUGCACGCAGCACAAUUCUGGACAUCUUUUUUUUUCUCUUGCAGGGAUCUAUUGAAAUUGUGCAAAAGAUGUACAGAGUUAGGAUUCAGCUUCGCAGGAAUUAGUUUGACAGUUCAUGAAUGCAAAAGCAUCUAUCAGAAGGAAAACCAAUUUGAUUUGUGAGUUGGAAGAGUUAUCCUUGAACCCGUGAUAUAUGUUGGUUAAUUCCCUGUGGGGAUGGUAAAACCUUCUACCUGUGUUUGAGUAAUUGAAGGCAUAGAAUUGGAAGUCCUCGGGUAAAAUGCUGCUUAACUGUAUGAAAUAUUUUCAAGUUAUCUGUUUUGUGAAGCUUUGUAAAAGAGUUUGAGGAUCAGUAAACUAUCCGGGUACUUGUGCAGAUUUGCAUAUGUUCUAGUCUUUUUCCUCUGGUCUGUUUGAUAUGUUACUAAACUUCCAAGUUUGUAAUGGUUAAACAAGUUACUGAGAUUGGAAAGCUUCGAGAAGCUCGUGCAAAGCCAAUAACGUUCAAGGAUGGUACAUGACUUCUUAGACAGGUAACACAUCCUAGUGAUAGAAACAACUUAACCAACUCCCAGUCGAAGAUGAUGACUACACUGGUAAUGCAAAGGAGAUGAUAAUUGGUUCGCCGUUUUGAGCAAGAUGGGAAGUGGCAAAGUUCUCAGGUGGCAACAAUGAUGCAUCACCAUCCUCAUGCUCGGCAAGCCAUGGGAAUUGGUGCUGCUAGAGCAUCUAGUCGAGCAAGUUGCGAUACUGGCUACUGCUUGAUCCUGCAAUAGCGAUUACUGGUCGAGAAAAUAGGGCAGCGCAAGUGUUUUGUACUACGCAUGUUUCUUUCUUCAGAUUUGUUUGAAGACUUGUCCUUAUGGAGGUUGUAUACAGCGGUGAUGAUAGGAAGGGAUCUAAACUAAAAAGAGCGUGAUGAUAGGAAGGGAUCUAAACUGAAAAGAGCUCCUCAUGGCAAGGUCCCACUGGAAACAUGGUAGAAGAGGAUCUGGAAUUUUUCGGUUGCAACAAGCUGGGGACGAGUUGCGCCUUAGCAGAAUCUCACAAGCAAUUAUUUGAUUAUAUCAGCAACUUGAUCUCAGAUAACAGUCUUGAGGUAUAAGGUACCUUGGACUUGAAGUACUGGUGCUUGCAGAAGUAGGCCUACUCUUUAUGAUGUAUUUUCAACUUAUCUUUCAUUUCAUGUAUACAUAUCUUUUAUUCCAACAAUAAAGUGGCAGUACUAUGUAUUGCUGGUUUGGCAGAGUUUAGUUGAACCUAAUUUAUUUGAUAUAGGGAGUAAUUGAUGUGGCUUA
Long non-coding RNA from Papaver somniferum (opium poppy), 2577 nucleotides. RefSeq lists it as uncharacterized. NCBI's taxonomy places the organism in Eukaryota, Viridiplantae, Streptophyta, Magnoliopsida, Ranunculales, Papaveraceae. The transcript has 6 exons. The record is from RefSeq and is a predicted model, not a curated record.